AAAUAUUAUUUUCUCCAUUUAAUAUCACUAGUUAAAAAAAUAAAUAAGCAUAAUUUAUUAUAUAUUUCAAGAGCUUAAAAAAUAUUUAAGUUUAUUGCACAUUUUUUCGGAAACAUUCAAUAUUUCGAUUCCGUUUUGGUGUAUUACAAAUAUUUUUCUAAUAUUAUAUUGCUUAAUAAUUAUUUUCUCAAAUUUUGAUAUUUUUCUCUUCAACAUUUUAAAUUCUCAUAAUAUAUUACUUACGUACAUAUUCUUUACAUGUAAACUGUAUUAAUUAUUCUAUAUUAUUUCUUGUGUAUUAAUCAUAAUACAAUCCCCUCUUUUCAUCAUAAAAACAAAUUCUUUGCAAAAAUACAAAUAUAUAUACUUGCAUUUUGAUUUUUAUAAAGAGUUUGAAAGGAAGAAGAAAUAACGAAUUCCGAACACGGAAAUCAAUUUGUCCGGUUCAAUUAUGCGAAACGCAGUAGUUGGAUGAUCUGAUUAAGGGAGGUCGAGCAGUAAAUUUCUAAUACUAAGAAGAGGUCAAUUCGUGACUAUCUUCUCAACUCAGAUUGUAAUAUCAAGACAAGUACGAAGUCGACUUAUCUACAUUUAAAUAACUAAGAAGAAGCCAUACAUAUCUAUAAUGGAAUAUAAUUCGCCACCAUGACUGUAUACUUGCAACCACCGAAGACAACUUUUGCAGGGCGUUUUAUUCAUCAAUUACAACCCUGCAUCCUAAGCCGAUGUUAGGGGUUCUUGGCCUGUAGAUGAACGUAAAGCGCAGUAGGUUACUGACACGAGGAGUUGUUAACAUCAGUAUUGCUCAUACAAGUGUUAGUUUCUUAAAUGCGAUAGACAUGUAUAAAUUGAAGUCACAACAUGAGAAGAGUUUGCCAAAUCUUUCUUCAAAGGAUAUGAGAAUUAUGAAAAUGUAUCACUACCUUAUCGACGAAAUUUCGGAUCCUAGAAUUUCUGACUGGCCCUUAAUGUCAAAUCCGUUUGGUAUAGUAUUGAUUUCACUCGCUUAUUUAUCUUUUGUGCUUUAUUUCGGACCGCUUUAUAUGAAAAACAGAAAAUCUCACGAGCUCAUUAAAACUAUGAUAUGUUAUAAUAUUUUUGUCGCAACUACAAACGCUAUUAUAUUCUAUGGUAUACUCACGUCUGGUUAUACAACACAUCUUUCUGCAGGAUGUGAGCCCUUUGUGAUUUCAGAUGAUUCUAUGUCGCUUAGCAUGGCUCGAUGGGUAUGGUGGAUUUUAAUUCUGAAAAUUAUCGAGCUCACAGAUACUGUCAUUUUUAUUCUCAGAAAAAAAUAUAACCAAAUUUCAUUUCUUCAUGUAUAUCAUCACACAGCGACUCUCUUUUUAGCGUGGAUUUCUUGUAAAUAUGCACCUGGUGGCAUGUGGACCUUUAUAAUGAUGCCUAAUUGCGCAAUACACGUAAUUAUGUACACAUAUUAUCUUUGUGCUUGUUUGGGACCAAAAAUGCAGAAGACAAUAACUCCUUGGAAAAAAUAUAUAACUCGUUUGCAACUGAUAAUAAGGAUUUGACAGUUUUAAGAAGCCUAGCGUGCCUAUGUCAAAUUCAUGCAGGCAUAUGGAAUAGCGCAUUUCGCGUGAUAUGUUCAUAUACGCAGACUUCAUUGUGGUUACAGCGCUCCUAUAACUCGAUAACUGGCUUUUCACGAGGGAUUGAAAAAUACAAUUUGCUAUUAUGAUGGUCCAUACAUUCCAAGCGCUUCUACCGUCUUGCGAACCAACGCGGAAACCAUUAGCAUACAUUUACAUGUCUCAAAUUGUUCUCAUGUUCUAUAUGUUCUUAGACUAUUAUAG
Molecule: unclassified non-coding RNA, 1814 nt
Filed under: Monomorium pharaonis (pharaoh ant)
Lineage: Eukaryota; Metazoa; Arthropoda; Insecta; Hymenoptera; Formicidae
Description: elongation of very long chain fatty acids protein 1, transcript variant X1
Source: RNAcentral